UAGUAUUUUAUAUAUAUAUUUAUACAGGAGUAUAAUUAAGUAAAAUAUUUAAUAUGUGAAAGUAUCAUAAUAAUCUAGUAAAUAAAUGUAUAUAAUGUUUAUUACUUAAUACCAAGUUAAUUAAAAUAUAUUUUCACUGUAAGAGUAUAUUUGUUAAAUAUGCAUACGUAUUGAAUAGGAUAUUAAAUUUAAUGUGUUGUGUUUCUGAGGUUUAUACAUCCGAUAUAUUUGUGUAAUAAUCGAUAAACAUAAGAAAAAAAGAAUUAUAUAAAAAAAAGAAAUCUUUUAAAUAGUCAAAGAAAACACACCAUUUUGGUUUAUUGUUUUUCUAUAAGUGCGUUUCACUUCUAAACACUAUGAAUCUUAUACCGCACUUAUUAUUCCAUUUUUAUUUUUUUUCUUAAUAAAAAAUAUGUAUUUAUUCUUUUCUUAAUAAACAAUAUUUACACAUUGAAAAGCAAGAUGAAUAGUAACAAUCUUUUGAUCCUGCAUAGCGGGAACGUAAACUGCUUAAAACAUUCAAUACCUACGAAUCUUAAACAUCGCUUAUUAUUCCAUAUUUAUUUUUUUUCUUAAUAAACAAUAUGUUUAUAUUAAUGAACAAUAUUUAUCCAUUGAAAAGCAAGAUGAGUGGUAACAGUCUUUUAUGCGUAGCGGAAACGUAAACCGCUUAAAACAUUCAAUAGUAUUUACACAACUUUCAGAUUUUCCGUUAUCCAACAAAUACUUCUAUGUACUGUUUAGAGGAUAAGUGUUUUCAUCUCUGUCUGUUAUGUCUGUCUUGAAGAAAAGGUUUUUUUUUUUUGCUUUUGGUUAAUAAUCUUCUGUGUUUAUAAGAUAACAGAGAUGGAAGCAAUAUUGUUACAGCAUAAUAUAGCAAUGCCAAGUCGACAUAUUCUGAAGAUCUCAGCUGUUCGUUGUAGCUUUAUCAUUGAUCUUUUGCGUGUUUAUCAUCCAAUAGGUAGUUUACAACUGUUGGAUUUCUGAGUGAAUCGGUGGAGCGGAAGGACAAAUUGUUGUGCAAUUCAAACAAAUCUAAGAGUAAGUACGAAUAAAGCUCCCGGGAAGCUAAAUUUGUCUUCCAUGCCUGGUGGUGUGGAUUUAACAAAUCAGAGGGAAAUGUGUUUCCCCCAUCAGCCAGUCUUAAACUUACUCAUAUGACUGGAAAUCAUGACCCCGGCUCUUUCAGUUCCCGAUGUCAUGAGGAGUGGUUCAGACAAAUCUUACUUGGAAUUUGAAGCCAAAUCUGCCAACGAUGGUUCAUAGUGAUUCCCUUACACUACUGGAUCUUCAGUAUUUUAGCUGACUUAUGAUACCAAAUUGGAAACAAACCUAACAGCGGGUUACCUCCCACUCAGAGUGGAUCAAAAAUCUAGUGACGUCUUAAAAAGUUACCCCAGACGGAUGAUAUCCAAUAGUUUUGGAAUGUAUUUCCAUAACUUAUGUUUGGAAAACUUAUAUUUUAACAGUUUAUCUUUUUUUACUGUGGUUUUACUAUAUUUACAUUUGAAAGCAAUACAGAUUAAUAUGGUCUGGCCCUAUACAUUUCUAGACUAAACAAUACUAAUGAUGCUAUAUAUUAAAACUAGAUGAUAACCUGCGCGCAUCCGCGGGGUGAGUUCAUAUAAUAAUAUUUGUUAAUUAAAUGAUUUUAACAUUUUGAAACACUACAAUUUUAUCGAUUGUAAAAUAACGAAUACAAAUGUUGGUCUCUUAAAUGUAUUAUCAUUGUUGAAGAGUUAAUGUAUUGCAACUCAUUUUAAUUAUUUUAAGACUUUAUAUGCACAAAAUGAAAUUAAGUUUUUCGGCUGACACAAAUCACCAAAACCAAAUAGGUAACAUCGAUUGUAUAAUGAUGAAAGGGAUUAGGCUUUCUGCUCUCGAUUUGUUUACUAUUGACUCUCCAUAAGUGAUUUCAUUUUCUACCUCUAUAAAAUUGUGUUUUCGUUCUCUUCUCUGUUUCAUUGAUAUGACUUUAGUUUCAUUUUUAACUUAUUCUAUGAAUUCAAUGAAUCACAUAAGUGUUAAUUUAAAAAGAUGGACAUCUGUAAAAAUUAGUUCUACUUCAGAUACAUAUCUAAGAAUCAAAAUUUUGAAGAAAAUCACCGACAAACCCUUUUAACA
Molecule: long non-coding RNA, 2124 nt
Organism: Brassica napus (rape)
Lineage: Eukaryota; Viridiplantae; Streptophyta; Magnoliopsida; Brassicales; Brassicaceae
Exons: 3
Source: RefSeq, a predicted model, not a curated record